RNAcentral lists this ribosomal RNA (376 nucleotides) under uncultured bacterium. Its description in RNAcentral is "bacterial SSU rRNA". It matches the Rfam family "Bacterial small subunit ribosomal RNA", at positions 524 to 898 of the family's 1533-position model. The record is from RNAcentral.
UACGGAGGGCGCAAGCGUUGUUCGGAAUUACUGGGCGUAAAGCGCGUGUAGGCGGUUCUGCAAGUCGGUUGUGAAAUCCCCGGGCUCAACCCGGGAACUGCAUCCGAAACUGCAGGGCUAGAGUUCCGGAGAGGAAGGCAGAAUUCCCAAUGUAGGGGUGAAAUCCGUAGAUAUUGGGAGGAAUACCAGUGGCGAAGGCGGCCUUCUGGACGGUGACUGACGCUGAGACGCGAAAGCGUGGGGAGCAAACAGGAUUAGAUACCCUGGUAGUCCACGCCGUAAACGGUGCGCACUAGGUGUCGGGGGUAUUCACCCCUCCGGUGCCGUAGCUAACGUUUUAAGUGCGCCGCCUGGGAAGUACGGCCGCAAGGCUAAA